This 1397-nucleotide ribosomal RNA is filed under the name metagenome. Its description in RNAcentral is "bacterial LSU rRNA". It matches the Rfam family "Bacterial large subunit ribosomal RNA", at positions 1460 to 2925 of the family's 2925-position model. The record is from RNAcentral.
UUAAACAGAGGGACACUUCGAAAUAGCGGAACCCGGGCGUUGGUUGACCCGGGCGUAAGGGAGCGAAAAUAGAGUAGCGAAGUCCGCGAUGUUCGGAGGCGAGAAAAGCUCUGAGGUAUGCUAAGGUGCCCGUACCGCAAACCGACACAGGUAGAUGAGGAGAGAAUCCUAAGGCCAACGGGAGAAGGGUUGUUAAGGAACUCGGCAAAUUGACCCCGUAACUUCGGAAGAAGGGGAGCCCCCUACGGGGGGUCGCAGAGAAAUGGCCCAAGCAACUGUUUACCAAAAACACAGGUCUAUGCUAAAUCGAAAGAUGACGUAUAUGGGCUGACGCUGCCCGGUGCCGGAAGGUUAAGAGGACAUGUCAGGCAACGAAGCAUUGAAUUUAAGCCCCGGUAAACGGCGGCCGUAACAAUAACGGUCCUAAGGUAGCGAAAUUCCUUGUCAGGUAAGUUCUGACCCGCACGAAUGGCGUAAUGAUUUGGGCACUGUCUCAACAGCCCGCCCGGCGAAAUUGUAGUACUGGUGAAGAUGCCAGUUACCCGCAACUAGACGGAAAGACCCCAUGGAGCUUUACUGCAGCUUAAUACUGAAAUUCGGUAGUACAUGUACAGGAUAGGUGGGAGACUGAGAAAUACAGGCGUCAGCUUGUAUGGAGUCGCUGUUGGGAUACCACUCUUGUACUGCUGGGUUUCUAACCUGCGGCCGUGAAUCCGGUCGGGGGACACUGUUAGGCGGGCAGUUUGACUGGGGCGGUCGCCUCCCAAAAGGUAACGGAGGCGCUCAAAGGUUCGUUCAGCACGGACGGAAAUCGUGCAAUGAGUGUAAACGCAUAAACGAGCCUAACUGCGACACCGACGGGUGGAGCAGUAACGAAAGUUGGAGUUAGUGAUCCGGUGGUAUGUGAGUGGAAAUGCCAUCGCUCAACGGAUAAAAGCUACCCUGGGAUAACAGGCUGAUCUCCCCCAAGCGUCCACAGCGACGGGGAGGUUUGGCACCUCGAUGUCGGCUCGUCGCAUCCUGGGGCUGAAUUCGGUCCCAAGGGUUUGGCUGUUCGCCAAUUAAAGCGGCACGCGAGCUGGGUUCAGAACGUCGUGAGACAGUUCGGUCCCUAUCUGUUGCGGGCGUAAGAGAUUUGAAGGGAGCUGUCCUUAGUACGAGAGGACCGGGAUGGACGUACCUCUGGUGCACCAGUUGUCCUGCCAAGGGCAUAGCUGGGUAGCUAUGUACGGACGAGAUAAACGCUGAAAGCAUCUAAGCGUGAAACUCCCCCUAAGAUGAGAUCUCUCAUCCUUCAAGGAGUAAGGACCCAGAAAGACGAUCUGGUUGAUAGGCCGAAGGUGGAAGCGCAGUAAUGUGUGCAGCUGAUCGGUACUAAUAGUCCGAGGGCUUGACCU